This 484-nucleotide ribosomal RNA is filed under the name uncultured bacterium. RNAcentral's name for it is "partial 16S ribosomal RNA". It matches the Rfam family "Bacterial small subunit ribosomal RNA", at positions 30 to 507 of the family's 1533-position model. The record is from RNAcentral.
AUUGAACGCUGGCGGCAGGCCUAACACAUGCAAGUCGAGCGGAUGAAGGGAGCUUGCUCCUGGAUUGAGCGGCGGACGGGUGAGUCAUGCCUAUGAAUCUGCCUGGUAGUGGGGGAUAACGUCCUGAAACGGACGCUAAUACCGCAUACGUCCUGAGGGAGCAAGUGGGGGAUCUUCGGACCUCACGCUAUCAGAUGAGCCUAGGUCGGAUUAGCUAGUUGGUGGGGUAAAGGCCUACCAAGGCGACGAUCCGUAACUGGUCUGAGAGGAUGAUCAGUCACACUGGAUGUGAGAAACGGUCCAGACUCCUACGGUAAGCCGCAGUGGGGAAUAUUGGGCAAUGCGCGAAUGCCUGAUCCAGCCAUGCCGCGUGUGUGAAGAAGGUCUUCGGAUUGUAAAGCACUUUAAGUUGGGAGGAAGGGCAGUAAGUUAAUACCUUGCUGUUUUGACGGUACCAACAGAAUAAGCACCGGCUAACUUCGUG